GACGAACGCUGGCGGCGUGCUUAACACAUGCAAGUCGAACGGAAAGGCCCUGCUUUUGUGGGGUGCUCUAGUGGCGAACGGGUGAGUAACACGUGAGUAACCUGCCCUUGACUUUGGGAUAACUUCAGGAAACUGGGGCUAAUACCGGAUAGGAGCUCCUGCUGCAUGGUGGGGGUUGGAAAGUUUCGGCGGUUGGGGAUGGACUUGCGGCUUAUCAGCUUGUUGGUGGGGUAGUGGCUUACCAAGGCUUUGACGGGUAGCCGGCCUGAGAGGGUGACCGGCCACAUUGGGACUGAGAUACGGCCCAGACUCCUACGGGAGGCAGCAGUGGGGAAUAUUGCACAAUGGGCGGAAGCCUGAUGCAGCAACGCCGCGUGCGGGAUGACGGCCUUCGGGUUGUAAACCGCUUUCGCCUGUGACGAAGCGUGAGUGACGGUAAUGGGUAAAGAAGCACCGGCUAACUACGUG
Molecule: ribosomal RNA, 468 nt
Filed under: uncultured bacterium
Lineage: Bacteria
Description: partial 16S ribosomal RNA
Rfam family: Bacterial small subunit ribosomal RNA
Source: RNAcentral